This 330-nucleotide ribosomal RNA is filed under the name uncultured eukaryote. RNAcentral describes it as "partial 18S ribosomal RNA". It matches the Rfam family "Eukaryotic small subunit ribosomal RNA", at positions 1470 to 1796 of the family's 1831-position model. The record is from RNAcentral.
CCCUUAGAUGUUCUGGGCCGCACGCGCAUUACACUGAUGAAUUCAACGAGCUCCUAACCUAGGCCGAAGGGUCCGGGUAAUCUUUGAAAUUUCAUCGUGAUGGGGAUAGAUUAUUGCAAUUAUUAAUCUUCAACGAGGAAUUCCUAGUAAGCGCGAGUCAUCAGCUCGCGUUGAUUACGUCCCUGCCCUUUGUACACACCGCCCGUCGCUCCUACCGAUUGAAUGGUCCGGUGAAAUGUUCGGACCGCGACAAGGCGGACGGUUCGCUGUCAGCUUUGCUGCGGGAAGUUCAUUAAACCUUAUCAUUUAGAGGAAGGAGAAGUCGUAACA